UACGGAGGGGGCUAGCGUUGUUCGGAAUUACUGGGCGUAAAGCGCACGUAGGCGGCUUUGUAAGUAAGAGGUGAAAGCCCAGAGCUCAACUCUGGAAUUGCCUUUUAGACUGCAUCGCUUGAAUCCAGGAGAGGUGAGUGGAAUUCCGAGUGUAGAGGUGAAAUUCGUAGAUAUUCGGAAGAACACCAGUGGCGAAGGCGGCUCACUGGACUGGUAUUGACGCUGAGGUGCGAAAGCGUGGGGAGCAAACAGG
RNAcentral lists this ribosomal RNA (253 nucleotides) under uncultured bacterium. RNAcentral describes it as "partial 16S ribosomal RNA". It matches the Rfam family "Bacterial small subunit ribosomal RNA", at positions 524 to 776 of the family's 1533-position model. The record is from RNAcentral.